RNAcentral lists this ribosomal RNA (1288 nucleotides) under Bromius obscurus. RNAcentral's name for it is "16S ribosomal RNA". The stretch from base 1047 to 1206 matches the Rfam family "Archaeal large subunit ribosomal RNA", at positions 2542 to 2701 of the family's 2987-position model. Lineage: Eukaryota; Metazoa; Arthropoda; Insecta; Coleoptera; Chrysomelidae. The record is from RNAcentral.
AAGUAAAUUAUUAUUAUUUUUUUUAUUUAAUAUAUAGAUUAUUCAAAUUAUUUUAAGUUUUUAUUAUUUUUUAAGAAAAGAUUUAUUUAAUAAUAGUUAAUUAUUUUUGUGAAAUAAUUUUUUAAUUUUAUAAUAAGAAAAAUUUAUUAUUUGUACCUUGUGUAUCAGGGUUGAUUAAAUUAAAAAUUUUAUUAAUUAUAUCCCGAAUUUAAGAGAGCUAUAUUUUUAUUUAUUUUAUUGUUUCAUAAAUAUUUUAAAUUUAAAUGUUGUAAUGAAAUGUUAUUCGUUCUUAAUAUUUAUCUGGUUUUCUAAGAAAUAAAUUUAAUUUAGAACUUUUGAAUAAAUUUUUAAUUUUUAAAUAUUUAUUAUUAAGUUUUAAUUUGUUAAGGGAUAAUCUUUAAUAAAUAUAUUUAUUAUGUAUUAAUUAUUUAACUUUUAUUUUAGAUUAAAAUUGUUUAAAGUUUUUAGUAUUUUAUAAUUAAUUGGAUUUUAAGAUUUAAUUUUUAUUUUUUAUAAAUAUUUUAUUGGAAUAUAAAUUUAAAUAAAAUUAAUUUAGCAUUAAUGAUUAAAUUAGUAAAUUUUAUUUUAUAUAUACAUAUUUAUAUAUUUAUAAAGAUUAUUAUAAAAGGAAUUCGGCAAAUAUUUUUUUCACCUGUUUAUUAAAAACAUGGCCUUUUGUAUUAAAUUUUAGGUCUGACCUGCCCAGUGAUUAUUUUAACGGCCGCAGUAAUUUGACUGUGCUAAGGUAGCAUAAUCAUUAGUUUUUUAAUUAAAAACUGGAAUGAAAGGUUGAAUGAGAGAAAAACUGUCUCUAUAUAAAAUUUUGAAUUUAACCUUUAAGUGCAAAGGCUUAAAUUUUAUUAAAAGACGAGAAGACCCUUUAGAGUUUUAGAUAAAAUUUAUAUUAUACUUUUUAGUAUAUAUAUGUUGUUUAAAUUUUAUUUUUGAUUGGGGUGAUUAUUAAAUUUAUUUAACUUUAAUUUUUAUAAACAUAUAUUAAUGAUUAAUUGAUCCAUAAAAAUGAUUAUUAGUUAAAUUACCUAAGGGAUAACAGCGUAAUUUUUUUGGAGAGUUCAUAUCGAUAAAAAAGAUUGCGACCUCGAUGUUGGAUUAAAAUAUGUAGUUAGGUGUAGAAGCUAAUUAACUUGGUCUGUUCGACCAUUAAAAUUUUACAUGAUCUGAGUUUAGACCGGCGUGAGCCAGGUUGGUUUCUAUCUUUAAAUAUUUAGAAAAUUUUAGUACGAAAGGACCGAAUUUUCAUAAUAUUUAUUAAAAUUUGAAUAUUAUU